Molecule: long non-coding RNA, 2330 nt
Organism: Oncorhynchus tshawytscha (Chinook salmon)
Lineage: Eukaryota; Metazoa; Chordata; Actinopteri; Salmoniformes; Salmonidae
Source: Ensembl
AAUCAACAGUAAACCAUUGUUCAAUCAACAGUAAACCAUUGUUCAAUCAACAGUAAACCAUUGUUCAAUCAACAGUAAACCAUUGUUCAAUCAAUCAACAGUAAACCAUUGUUCAAUCAAUCAACAGUAAACCAUUGUUCAAUCAAUAAACAGUAAACUAUUGUUCAAUCAAUCGUAAACCAUUGUUCAAUCAAUCAACAGUAAACUAUUGUUCAAUCAACAGUAAACUAUUGUUCAAUCAAUCAACAGUAAACCAUUGUUCCAUCUCAGGAUCUUGACACUGUCUCUAUUCCAAAAAUAAUGGAUAGGAGGGUGCUGUUCCCAGGUCAGGGAGGGGGCAAACACACUGUCUAGUCCUAAUAUAAUGGAUAGGAGGGUGCUGUACCCAGGUCAGGGAGGGGGCAAACACACUGUCUAGUCCUAAUAUAAUGGAUAGGAGGGUGCUGUACCCAGGUCAGGGAGGGGGCAAACACACUGUCUAGUCCUAAUAUAAUGGAUAGGAGGGUGCUGUUCCCAGGUCAGAGGAGAAGAAAAUAAAUACGAACAAGUGUACAUUGUAAUUAAUCAAUGAAUGAAUCGGUCAAUCAAUGAAUGAAUAAAUAAAUACACCCCCCGAAGUGCUCUCCUCACAUAUCAACACGGUCUCCAGUGAGGCAGUACAUUGAGAGCAAUACAUUCCUAGGCACCAGGGCAAUAAUACAUUGAGUGAAACAGUAGGAUAAGUAAAGGUUGGACUACGGUGUCUAAAUCCCCUCACUGUGUUUGUUUUGGUGCAGGGGUUAUGUUUCAGCAGUGGGCAUGAAUAAGGAGGUGACGGUUCACAUUCUUCUAUCGGGGGGGGCGCUUUCUUUAUUAGGUAUCCUAAUAUAUGUCUGAGUUCUCUUGUUCUCUUCACGGUAUCAACAUUGUAAACGUUAAGUUCUGUGACUCCCCAGGCCUGAAGAUUAGUUUUAAAAAAAAAAUAUGAUUCUAGAAUAGUCUUGACACCUAUUUCAUCCCUACUCGGGUAGCAUUACAAAGGGUUGUGGGAAAAUCAAUAACUACCUUGAAGUUCUCACUUUGAGUUUUUUUUUUUUUCUUCUCUUCUCCCUGGGACUCUCUUCUGACAUCAGGGAUUCAAAGGUGUUUCACUGUGCCUUUGUAAGCCCACUAUGGAGAGCUGUUGCUCCAGCUAUUGAAGGUAUGUUCUGAUGCUAGCUCACUUGGCUCCAACUUGGACUAGUAUUUGGCUCAUUUAGGUGGGUCAGGAUGGAAUGUUUCACCCGUAUUCACAAGGGUAGUGCUUCUCAAUUUUUUUGGGAGACGGGUGAGGAACAUAUUCACAAAUGUUUAACUCUACACUAACCGUCAAGACACAGCACACUCCAAACAUUAUGAAGAUUAUGGUCAUUUGUACUCAUGUUUACAGUGUUUUGUAAGACUACAAGACUAGAUUUUCCACUACCCGCCAAACACAUACAUGUUCUUUUAAGAAGUGCAUUGUCUCACACGAAAAAUACAUUUCAAAAUAAAAGUAGUGUUCUGAUCACUGGUUAACCACAAUACCAGCACACCCACGUCGUCCUGGUUCUGAAAACAAGACCAGAUUGUUUCGGUAGUAGUAACCUUUUAAACACAGGCGGCAUAGAAGUCCAUUUUUUUUUAAAAUCAUGGUUGGGAGUGGACACAUCAUACAUCAUAUGACACGAUUUGAAUGACAACGGAGCAGUCGUUGAGUCAUUUGGAGGAACGUAUAUAUUUACAAUGAAGUGUUUGACCAUCAUAAUGAACCUGCAAGGUCUACAAGUGCAAAUUCGUAUUGAUCUUCUUUGUUUUUUUAAACUUGACAGGGAUGUGUAAGUGUUCACCGCCAUUACCAGAUACGAGGGUAUCCUGGUCCCAGACAGGCCUCUGUGCUCUUGUCAACUUCAUUGCUGUCAAACGGCAUGACUAUGAGCGACGGGGAGAUGGCAUGAUAGCACAAACACACUGGCUAGGACAAGGGUAGUCUUUGAACUAUUUUAUGAUGCUUUAAAUACAGAACACAAACAAUAGUCAUAGACUAUCCAAAUAAAUGGAAAUACAUGGUCUAGAUGCUCUACAGAUGGUCAUACAAUCAACAGACUGUUGAUAAGCAACUGCUUGCUAAGGUUACGGUUAGGGUAGGGGUUGGGGUAGGGGUUAGGGUAGGGGUAGGGGUUAGGGUAGGGUAGGGGUUAGGGUAGGGGUUAGGGUAGGGGUUAGGGUUUAGGGUAGGGGUUAGGGUAGGGUAGGGGUUAGGGUAGGGGUUAGGGUAGGGUAGGGGUUAGGGUAGGGGGUAGGGGUUAGGGUAGGGGUAGGUUAGGGGUGGG